This 437-nucleotide ribosomal RNA is filed under the name uncultured bacterium. Its description in RNAcentral is "partial 16S ribosomal RNA". It matches the Rfam family "Bacterial small subunit ribosomal RNA", at positions 29 to 507 of the family's 1533-position model. The record is from RNAcentral.
AGCGAACGCUGGCGGCAGGCUUAACACAUGCAAGUCGAGCGGGAAUCCUCGUGGUGUCUGCGGCAGUCGGGUGAGUAACGCGUGGGAAAGUGCCCUUUGGUUUGGCAUAACCCAGGGAAACUCGAGAUAAUACCGGAUACGAGCGAGAGUAGAAAGGGCUAUCUGCUGAGGGAUCGGGCCGCGUCUGAUUAGUUAGUUGGUGAGGUCAUGGCUCACCAAGGCGACGAUGAGUAGCUGGUUUGGGAGGAUGAUCAGCCACGCUUGGACUGAGACACGGCCCAGACUGCGACGGAGGGCAGCAGUAGAGAAUAUUGUGCGAUGAAGGCAACCCUAAUCCAGCCGUGCCGCGUGUGAGAUGACUGCCUUAGUGUUGUAAAUCUCUUUGCGACGAGGCGAGAAUGACGGUACCGGGUAAAUAAGCCCCGGCUAACUACGUG